ACAGGAAUAUCGACGACACGAGAGGCAUCAACAUUAACCAGCAGUCCACACGUUUCAACCACUUCUGCAGAGACGUCAACAACAGGAGAAUCAAAUCCAACAAGUGAGAUCUCCACAAGCGAAUCGACAUCAGUCAACACAGCAGGGACAUCCAUAAGCUCAAAAUCUACCCUGACAUCCACUCAGCCAUCAACAUCAGAAGGAAUAUCGACGACACGAGAGGCAUCAACAUUAACCAGCAGUCCACACGUUUCAACCACUUCUGCAGAGACGUCAACAACAGGAGAAUCAAAUCCAACAAGUGAGAUCUCCACAAGCGAAUCGACAUCAGUCAACACAGCAGGGACAUCCAUAAGCUCAAAAUCUACCCUGACAUCCACUCAGCCAUCAACAUCAGAAGAAUCAAAUCCAACAAGUGAGAUCUCCACAAGCGAAUCGACAUCAGUCAACACAGCAGGGACAUCCAUAAGCUCAAAAUCUACCCUGACAUCCACUCAGCCAUCAACAUCAGAAGGAAUAUCGACGACACGAGAGGCAUCAACAUUAACCAGCAGUCCACACGUUUCAACCACUUCUGCAGAGACGUCAACAACGGGAGGUAAAAGGGAGACAUUGUG
Molecule: long non-coding RNA, 617 nt
Organism: Rhincodon typus (whale shark)
Lineage: Eukaryota; Metazoa; Chordata; Chondrichthyes; Orectolobiformes; Rhincodontidae
Exons: 6
Source: RefSeq, a predicted model, not a curated record